Magnolia sinica is the source of this 3382-nucleotide RNA transcript. RefSeq lists it as uncharacterized. The record is from RefSeq and is a predicted model, not a curated record. Lineage: Eukaryota; Viridiplantae; Streptophyta; Magnoliopsida; Magnoliales; Magnoliaceae. The transcript is spliced from 7 exons.
CUGGACAGGCAGGGGAAGUACCCAAUACGCGUCCGAACGCCCCUUUUCCACCACCUAGCUGGGUGGUGUUUGGGUCAUCACCUAAUCCGAAUCCGGCGUUAGCCAGCGUUUGUACUUCGACCCUUCGAAAACCCCCCCAAACCCUCUCUCUCUUUUGAUCGACUCUCCCCUUCUCUCUCUGAUCGAUCUCUCCCUAUUCCCCUCCCUCUUACAUUGGCCAGCGGCGCUCUACCGCAACCCAGCGGCGCAUCAGCCGCAUCGUGACGGUGCUCUGACCAUACCUCAGCAUCUAACGAAUAGGGUUUCUACCCUGGAAGGUUAGGUGAAAUGGAUGAUGAUACUGUGGAGAGUCCAGCAUUUUCUCAACCAUGUCAGAGGUUAGAUUCUAACAUUGAAAUUGAUGAUCAAGUAGCAAGUCAACAAGUAGAUGACCAUGAAGAAAGACAAGAUGUACCGGUCAAUAUAGAUGAGGAGUUAGAUGAAGAACCAAAACUAGGAAUGGAGUUUUCUUCGGAUGAGAGUGCAUAUGAGUUUUACAAUGGGUAUGCUAGGAAGAAGGGGUUCAGUACUCGAAAGUCAUGGGUAAAAAAAUCAGAUGAUGGUGUCAUAACUAAGAGGCACUUUUGUUGUUCUAAAGAAGGUCGGAAACGUGAAAAGAAACAUAUUGAUCAACCAAAGUUUACCCGCCCGAUUACAAGAACUCAAUGUCUAGCAAGCAUCAUUAUUAAGCUUCAGGUGAAUGGAAAAUACACUGUGACUAAGUUUGUGGCAGAGCAUAACCAUGAGGUUGUAACACAAUCGAAGGCGAACAUACUAACCCCUCAGAGUAGCUUGACUAAUGCUCAAAAAGCUAAAGCGCAUAUGGCGAAUGAUUCAGGAAUAACACCCAAAGUUUUAGAUUAUCAUAAUAUAAAGGUGCUUCAUCCUCAUUAUAUUAUGAAGAGAUGGCAAAGAGAUACAAAGGUAGGUUUUGAUAGAGAUCAUACUGGGUUAACAAUACCAGGUGACUGCAAUAUUCCUUUAGGUAAGCGGUACAAACAUUUGUGCCGCAAGCUUCUUAAAAUUGCGGCAAUGGCUGAGGAACAUGAUGAGGUCUUCAAAUUUGCUGAUAAAUAUGCAGAUAAAUUUUAUGAUAAAGUGAUGGAAUGUAUGAAAAGGAUCAAGGAAACUCCACAAAUGUUGUCUCAGGUUGUUGAUGAAAGUGUAGAUACUAAACGAACAUGCCCUGAGCCAAUUGAAAUUGUAGAUCUUGAACGUACACCCCUUGAGCUGACUGAAAGUGUAGAUACUGAAUGUGCACGCCGUGAGCUGACUGAAAGUGUAGAUAUGGAACGUGCAUGCCACGAGCCGACCGAAAGUGUAGAUAUUGAUUGUGUACACUCCAAGCCAACUGGAAGUGUAGAUACUGAAGGUGCACACCUUGAGCCAACUAAAAAGCAAGUUACUUCUGUUGAUAGUUUGAGUUCACAAACUGUAUGUGGGAUUAAAGUAAUGCCUAUAGUUAAGGACAACCGUGGUGCGCAUAAAAAUACGCUAGAUAAAGUAAGGAAGAAAAGAUCUCGAACUGAAUCCGUUCAGCCACAAACAGAUCAAGAGAAACAAGAAACAACUGAAGCACCAAAUAUCAUGCACCCUCCUUCAUUUCAACCUUCACAUUAUCCAUUUACAUUUCCUUCAUUGAAUCAUUUCAAUCAGGGUUCACAUAUUGCGGUUGUGAGUCCUUUUGGAUUACCAAGUGGAUACCAUGCGGGACAUGGUCAUCAUGUGGUGAUGGGCUACACUACUGGCCCUAGUGGAUCUAUCAAUGCAUCAUUGCCUCAAUGUGGGUACCAACUACAUAAUGUUAGCAUGUUUCAACAAAGCCCUUUCAACGUCGGAUCUCAAGUAAAAAGUUUGAAUGUUACCAAAGCGAGUCGUUUAAAAAUACCCAAGAGUGGUCCUAGUGGAUCCAUGAGUGAUCCCUUAUGUCAAGAUUCGUCUAAAGGAAGUGUCGCAUUUAACCAGUCGUCAUCAGCACCAUCCGAUAGCAAUCAAUUGGUGGGGUGUGAAGACCACCACCUACGUUCGAGUAAUUAGAUUUUCUUUUAUCAAAGUUGAGACUGGGAUCAUGAACGCUGAAAGGUCACAUGCAGGUGACUGCCCAAAUUUGUUGUGAUUUAUCAUCUGUUCUCACAUCUUGCAAAUGAAACUGCUUGUCUUUUCCACAAUCCUGAUCUAUUCUGAAGUUAUCCCACCAUCUAUAAGCUAACCUUGCGCCAUUGUUGUCUCUAGUAACAUAACCAAGAAGGCCCUAAGAUGUAGGCAUGUAGCUGAGUACUUUUUUCUUUUUCUGUCUGAAGUAUACGUAUCAACAACGAUCUCCUCUUUGAAAUUCUGUCAUGAAUUUUCCCUUCCAAGAGGCUUUACUUUUCACGUGAAAGUUACCAUAUACUAGUAAACAAUUAUACAUCCACAUGCCAGAACACCAAAACCCCAUGGACUGUACUUGUCAGGUUUCAGGAACAUAUAGACGGAUGUAUGCAGAUGUCGAUCUUUUAAACAAUCUUUGUUCUUCACCUUAGGAAUGUGGUAACUAAUUAUGGAUUUUUUUUUAUUUUGUCUACCUUCUGGAGAACACCAUUGAACUGCUAUCAUCAAAUGCACUGUUCAUCUAUGCGCGAAGAGUUGAUUGGUCUGGAUGGGCAGUCUAGAAUCGUUGAGGGAACCAUCAUUUUGUCAAAUUCAACUCACAGCCCUAUACUAAGGCAUUUACUAUUGUGAGAGUGCUGGGGAGAUCAUACUUUCAACCUUCAUGUCCAUCCGAUUUCUGAACAGUUAUUCUGCAUCAGCAUGGAGCAGGUGUCAAGCACUUUAGGCAGAACCUGUUUCUUGAUUCAUGCAAAGUAUCUUAUAAUACUAUAUAUUGCACUUGCAUGUGCCAUUUCAUCAGGUUCAAUCACUAGGUCUCCACAGAAGCAGAAGAUGCUGCAGGUCGAAGUUGGGCGCCAGCCGCUGCUGGGAUCCAAGCUUAGUGAUGUCAUGAAGUUGUCCACCACAAGACUUGCUCAAGUAAUUGUUCUGUGUCAACUGUCUAUACUGGCUUGAGAGAAAUGAGGGGAUAAAAUCUAGGGCUAUUGUUGAUGACUGCCGGUCAGGUGGAAGGUUGCAAAUAUCACUGGAUUGUGUGCAAAGGAAAUUUGACCAUGUCAAACAUGAUGAGCAGUAAGGAUGCACCGAAACACUAAGGACAUGAAUUACUGUGGACAUCAUGAUGUGUGUAUGUAUAUUGGGAGGCUUUUUUUUUUUUUUGGGCUGUCAAAGCCCAAAGACUUGCUAAGUGGGCCACGCCAACAAAAAAAAGUAAAUAAAUAAGGAUUGGCAUCACCAUGCCAUCAUUCAAGAA